AUAAGGGCGCACGGUGGAUGCCUUGGCACUAGGAGCCGAUGAAGGACGGGACUAACACCGAUAUGCUUUGGGGAGCUGUACGUAAGCUAUGAUCCAGAGAUUUCCGAAUGGGGGAACCCAACAUCUUUAAUAGGAUGUUACGAUUGUGUGAAUACAUAGCACAUUCGAGGUAGACGCAGAGAACUGAAACAUCUAAGUACCUGCAGGAAGAGAAAGAAAAUUCGAUUCCCUGAGUAGCGGCGAGCGAAACGGGAAAAGCCCAAACCAGCAAGCUUGCUUGUUGGGGUUGUAGGACUCCAAUAUGGUAGUUCUUUCAGAUAGUCGAAUGACUUGGAAAAGUCAGUCAAAGAGGGUAAAAACCCCGUAGACGAAAUGUGGAAGACACCUAGGAGGAUCCUGAGUACGGCGGAACACGAGAAAUUCCGUCGGAAUCCGGGAGGACCAUCUCCCAAGGCUAAAUACUCCCUAGUGACCGAUAGUGAACCAGUACCGUGAGGGAAAGGUGAAAAGCACCCCGGAAGGGGAGUGAAAUAGAACCUGAAACCGUGUGCCUACAACAAGUCAAAGCCCGUUAAUGGGUGAUGGCGUGCCUUUUGUAGAAUGAACCGGCGAGUUACGAUUGCAUGCGAGGUUAAGUUGAAGAGACGGAGCCGCAGCGAAAGCGAGUCUGAAUAGGGCGUUUGAGUAUGUAGUCGUAGACCCGAAACCAUGUGAUCUACCCAUGUCCAGGUUGAAGGUGCGGUAAAACGCACUGGAGGACCGAACCCACGUACGUUGAAAAGUGCGGGGAUGAGGUGUGGGUAGCGGAGAAAUUCCAAACGAACUUGGAGAUAGCUGGUUCUCUCCGAAAUAGCUUUAGGGCUAGCCUCGGAAUUGAGAAUGAUGGAGGUAGAGCACUGUUUGGACUAGGGGCCCAUCUCGGGUUACCGAAUUCAGAUAAACUCCGAAUGCCAUUCAUUCAUAUCCGGGAGUCAGACUGUGAGUGAUAAGAUCCAUAGUCGAAAGGGAAACAGCCCAGACCACCAGCUAAGGUCCCAAAAUAUAUGUUAAGUGGAAAAGGAUGUGGGGUUGCACAGACAACUAGGAUGUUGGCUUAGAAGCAGCCACCAUUUAAAGAGUGCGUAAUAGCUCACUAGUCGAGUGACCCUGCGCCGAAAAUGUACCGGGGCUAAACAUAUUACCGAAGCUGUGGAGUACACCUUUAGGUGUAUUGGUAGGAGAGCGUUCUAAGGGCGUUGAAGGCAGAUCGUGAGGACUGCUGGAGCGCUUAGAAGUGAG
This 1278-nucleotide ribosomal RNA is filed under the name Enterococcus faecium. Its description in RNAcentral is "partial 23S ribosomal RNA". It matches the Rfam family "Bacterial large subunit ribosomal RNA", at positions 12 to 1292 of the family's 2925-position model. The record is from RNAcentral. Lineage: Bacteria; Bacillati; Bacillota; Bacilli; Lactobacillales; Enterococcaceae.